GUAGGUGGCAAGCGUUGUCCGGAAUUAUUGGGCGUAAAGCGCGCGCAGGUGGGUUCUUUAAGUCUGAUGUGAAAGCCCCCGGGCUCAACCGGGGAGGGUCAUUGGAAACUGGGGAACUUGAGUGCAGGAGAGGAAAGUGGAAUUCCACGUGUAGCGGUGAAAUGCGUAGAUAUGUGGAGGAACACUAGUGGCGAAGGCGACUUUCUGGCCUGUAACUGACACUGAGGCGCGAAAGCGUGGGGAGCAAACAGGAUUAGAUACCCUGGUAGUCCACGCCGUAAACGAUGAGUGCUAAGUGUUGGGGGGUUUCCGCCCCUCAGUGCUGCAGCUAACGCAUUAAGCACUCCGCCUGGGGAGUACGGUCGCAAGACUG
RNAcentral lists this ribosomal RNA (373 nucleotides) under uncultured organism. RNAcentral's name for it is "partial 16S ribosomal RNA". It matches the Rfam family "Bacterial small subunit ribosomal RNA", at positions 527 to 896 of the family's 1533-position model. The record is from RNAcentral.